Molecule: ribosomal RNA, 407 nt
Filed under: uncultured bacterium
Lineage: Bacteria
Description: partial 16S ribosomal RNA
Rfam family: Bacterial small subunit ribosomal RNA
Source: RNAcentral
AUUGAACGCUAGCGGGAUGCUUUACACAUGCAAGUCGAACGGAGUGGCGGACGGGUGUGUAAUAUAUCGGAACGUGCCCAGUAGCGGGGGAUAACUACUCGAAAGUGUGGCUAAUACCGCAUACUAUUUGAACGCCCGCUAGCGGACUGUCUAGUUGGCGGUGUAAAGGCUCACCAAGGCAACGACCCGUAGCUGGUUUGAGAGGACGACCAGCCACACUGGGACUGAGACACGGCCCAGACUCCUACGGGAGGCAGCAGUGGGGAAUUGGGGACAAUGGGGGAAACCCUGAUCCAGCCAUCCCGCGUGUAUGAAGAGGGCCUUCGGGUGGUAGAGUACUUUUGGCAGAGAAGCGGUAUCUGCAGAAUAAGCACCGGCUAACUACGUGCCAGCAGCCGCGGUAAUUC